UUCCUUAUUAAAUUUUGUGAUGAGGUCAUUGAUGCAUAUGGUGGGGUUGCUGUUAUUCACAUUAAAUCCAAAGCCAAUAAGUAUAUGAAAUGUUGUCUCAAUAAGUGUAGAGGUUACCAGAACUCCACCAAGCUUCAUAAGAUCACUGUAAUAAAUAUCAUUUGGCCAUUUUACUCGCAGGUCAAUAUCCUCAUAUCCUGGUAUUGAUCUAACCGACUCUACCACUGCCAAGGACACUAGGUGUUGAAUAAAAGGAAUUCUCUGGCCCAAGUUGGAAUGUAAAGGGAUUGUGAUAUGUAAAGUGGAUAGUGCACAACCAAUGGGACUGAGCCAAACAUUUCCGCCACGACCUUUCCCUUGUGUUUGUCGAACAGCAAUUGCUAUUAAACCCAUCUCCUCAGGCAACUUGAACAUUAACCCGUCUAGAAGAUUCAUUGUUGUGGUGGUAACUUCAGUAAAGAAAAGAAUCUUUCCAAGUUUCUUUGUUUGUAGAUUCUGCUGAUAUGUCUCCAGGCUGAAAUGUUCUGAUGAGAAGUUUCCCAUCUUGGUGAUGACUGACAUGAGAGAUGGAGUUAUCUCCAUUUUCGAUUCACAAGAUGAAACAAAUUUAAGAGACACUUUGCUGGAUUCUAUUAAUCCUUCAACAUUUACAUUCUCCUCAAGCCAUUUCAAAAACGUAAGAUGGAUUUCCUCAUCAGAAGAGAGAAGGUAAAUAGGCGUCAACAUAGGAAUCUCACUUAAUUCACAACUCAGCCCAAGUGAUAUCAGAAUCUCCUUGAGAACUUCAUAUCUCUUGGGAUUGCUCAUCUUAAGCAAAUUAAAAUCCUCUUCAGUUUGGAUAUCCACAGAAUUGGUAUCCAGUUCCAAAUGCACCUGAGAAAGAAUGGCUUCUCCUCCAUUGUCUCCAUAAGGCAGAUAAACAAUAACUAUAUCUUUAUCAGCAUUAUUUAAGCGACUCAAUGGCUUCACUUUGCUGCUCCC
Molecule: long non-coding RNA, 981 nt
Filed under: Gallus gallus (chicken)
Lineage: Eukaryota; Metazoa; Chordata; Aves; Galliformes; Phasianidae
Source: RNAcentral